UGGGGAAUAUUGGACAAUGGGCGAAAGCCUGAUCCAGCCAUGCCGCGUGUGUGAAGAAGGCCUUAUGGUUGUAAAGCACUUUAAGCGAGGAGGAGGGUACUGGUAUUAAUACUACCAGGUACUGGACGUUACUCGCAGAAUAAGCACCGGCUAACUCUGUGCCAGCAGCCGCGGUAAUACAGAGGGUGCGAGCGUUAAUCGGAUUUACUGGGCGUAAAGCGCGCGUAGGUGGUUCGUUAAGUUGAAUGUGAAAGCCCCGGGCUCAACCUGGGAACUGCAUCCAAAACUGGCGAGCUAGAGUAGGGCAGAGGGUGGUGGAAUUUCCUGUGUAGCGGUGAAAUGCGUAGAUAUAGGAAGGAACACCAGUGGCGAAGGCGACCACCUGGGCUCAUACUGACACUGAGGUGCGAAAGCGUGGGGAGCAAACAGG
Molecule: ribosomal RNA, 430 nt
Filed under: Pseudomonadota bacterium
Lineage: Bacteria; Pseudomonadati; Pseudomonadota
Description: Proteobacteria bacterium partial 16S ribosomal RNA
Rfam family: Bacterial small subunit ribosomal RNA
Source: RNAcentral